UCGCGAAUAUUCCGCAAUGGGCGAAAGCCUGACGGAGCGACGCCGCGUGUGGGAUGAAGGCCUUCGGGUUGUAAACCACUGUCACGCGUUAUGAACACCGGGUAGACAACAUCAAUCCGGAUGACAAAGGCGCGAGAGGAAGCCACGGCUAACUCUGUGCCAGCAGCCGCGGUAAGACAGAGGUGGCAAGCGUUGCUCGGAGUUACUGGGCAUAAAGGGCGCGUAGGCGGUCGUGCACGUCGAGGGUGAAAUCCCCGGGCUUAACCCGGGAACUGCCUUUGAUACGGCGCGACUCGAGUGCGGGAGGGGAGAGUGGAACUCCUGGUGGAGCGGUGAAAUGCGUAGAUAUCAGGAGGAACGCCGGUGGCGAAAGCGACUCUCUGGUCCGCAACUGACGCUGAGGCGCGAAAGCUAGGGGAGCAAACGGGAUUAGAUACCCCCGUAGUCC
RNAcentral lists this ribosomal RNA (448 nucleotides) under uncultured bacterium. Its description in RNAcentral is "bacterial SSU rRNA". It matches the Rfam family "Bacterial small subunit ribosomal RNA", at positions 355 to 796 of the family's 1533-position model. The record is from RNAcentral.